RNAcentral lists this ribosomal RNA (253 nucleotides) under uncultured bacterium. RNAcentral describes it as "partial 16S ribosomal RNA". It matches the Rfam family "Bacterial small subunit ribosomal RNA", at positions 524 to 776 of the family's 1533-position model. The record is from RNAcentral.
GACGUAGGGGACGAGCGUUGUCCGGAUUUAUUGGGCGUAAAGAGCACGUAGGCGGCCAGGUAGGUCUGCUGUGAAAACUCGAGGCUCAACCUCGAGACGUCGGCGGAAACCAUCUGGCUAGAGUCCGGAAGAGGAGAGUGGAAUUCCUGGUGUAGCGGUGAAAUGCGCAGAUAUCAGGAAGAACACCCGUGGCGAAGGCGGCUCUCUGGGACGGUACUGACGCUGAGACGCGAAAGCGUGGGGAGCGAACAGG